GGACGAACGCUGGCGGCGUGCUUAACACAUGCAAGUCGAGCGAUGAAGCUUCUUCGGAAGUGGAUUAGCGGCGGACGGGUGAGUAACACGUGGGUAACCUACCUCAUAGAGGGGAAUAGCCUUCCGAAAGGAAGAUUAAUACCGCAUAAGAUUGUAAUAUCGCAUGAUAUAGCAAUUAAAGGAGCAAUCCGCUAUGAGAUGGACCCGCGUCGCAUUAGCUAGUUGGUGAGGUAACGGCCCACCAAGGCGACGAUGCGUAGCCGACCUGAGAGGGUGAUCGGCCACAUUGGGACUGAGACACGGCCCAGACUCCUACGGGAGGCAGCAGUGGGGAAUAUUGCACAAUGGGGGAAACCCUGAUGCAGCCAACGCCGCGUGAGUGAUGACGGUCUUCGGAUUGUAAAGCUCUGUCUUCAGGGACGAUAAUGACGGUACCUGAGGAGGAAGCCACGGCUAACUACGUGCCAGCAGCGGC
RNAcentral lists this ribosomal RNA (475 nucleotides) under uncultured bacterium. RNAcentral's name for it is "bacterial SSU rRNA". It matches the Rfam family "Bacterial small subunit ribosomal RNA", at positions 27 to 518 of the family's 1533-position model. The record is from RNAcentral.